RNAcentral lists this ribosomal RNA (1540 nucleotides) under Staphylococcus aureus M1277. RNAcentral's name for it is "16S ribosomal RNA". It matches the Rfam family "Bacterial small subunit ribosomal RNA". Lineage: Bacteria; Bacillati; Bacillota; Bacilli; Caryophanales; Staphylococcaceae. The record is from RNAcentral.
AGAGUUUGAUCCUGGCUCAGGAUGAACGCUGGCGGCGUGCCUAAUACAUGCAAGUCGAGCGAACGGACGAGAAGCUUGCUUCUCUGAUGUUAGCGGCGGACGGGGGAGUAACACGUGGAUAACCUACCUAUAAGACUGGGAUAACUUCGGGAAACCGGAGCUAAUACCGGAUAAUAUUUUGAACCGCAUGGUUCAAAAGUGAAAGACGGUCUUGCUGUCACUUAUAGAUGGAUCCGCGCUGCAUUAGCUAGUUGGUAAGGUAACGGCUUACCAAGGCAACGAUGCAUAGCCGACCUGAGAGGGUGAUCGGCCACACUGGAACUGAGACACGGUCCAGACUCCUACGGGAGGCAGCAGUAGGGAAUCUUCCGCAAUGGGCGAAAGCCUGACGGAGCAACGCCGCGUGAGUGAUGAAGGUCUUCGGAUCGUAAAACUCUGUUAUUAGGGAAGAACAUAUGUGUAAGUAACUGUGCACAUCUUGACGGUACCUAAUCAGAAAGCCACGGCUAACUACGUGCCAGCAGCCGCGGUAAUACGUAGGUGGCAAGCGUUAUCCGGAAUUAUUGGGCGUAAAGCGCGCGUAGGCGGUUUUUUAAGUCUGAUGUGAAAGCCCACGGCUCAACCGUGGAGGGUCAUUGGAAACUGGAAAACUUGAGUGCAGAAGAGGAAAGUGGAAUUCCAUGUGUAGCGGUGAAAUGCGCAGAGAUAUGGAGGAACACCAGUGGCGAAGGCGACUUUCUGGUCUGUAACUGACGCUGAUGUGCGAAAGCGUGGGGAUCAAACAGGAUUAGAUACCCUGGUAGUCCACGCCGUAAACGAUGAGUGCUAAGUGUUAGGGGGUUUCCGCCCCUUAGUGCUGCAGCUAACGCAUUAAGCACUCCGCCUGGGGAGUACGACCGCAAGGUUGAAACUCAAAGGAAUUGACGGGGACCCGCACAAGCGGUGGAGCAUGUGGUUUAAUUCGAAGCAACGCGAAGAACCUUACCAAAUCUUGACAUCCUUUGACAACUCUAGAGAUAGAGCUUUCCCCUUCGGGGGACAAAGUGACAGGUGGUGCAUGGUUGUCGUCAGCUCGUGUCGUGAGAUGUUGGGUUAAGUCCCGCAACGAGCGCAACCCUUAAGCUUAGUUGCCAUCAUUAAGUUGGGCACUCUAAGUUGACUGCCGGUGACAAACCGGAGGAAGGUGGGGAUGACGUCAAAUCAUCAUGCCCCUUAUGAUUUGGGCUACACACGUGCUACAAUGGACAAUACAAAGGGCAGCGAAACCGCGAGGUCAAGCAAAUCCCAUAAAGUUGUUCUCAGUUCGGAUUGUAGUCUGCAACUCGACUACAUGAAGCUGGAAUCGCUAGUAAUCGUAGAUCAGCAUGCUACGGUGAAUACGUUCCCGGGUCUUGUACACACCGCCCGUCACACCACGAGAGUUUGUAACACCCGAAGCCGGUGGAGUAACCUUUUAGGAGCUAGCCGUCGAAGGUGGGACAAAUGAUUGGGGUGAAGUCGUAACAAGGUAGCCGUAUCGGAAGGUGCGGCUGGAUCACCU